This 118-nucleotide ribosomal RNA is filed under the name Chromerida sp. RM11. The record is from RNAcentral.
CGGCAGCCAUUAGCCUGUUCGAAACACUCCGACUCCAUUCCGACCUCGGCUGUGAAAGGACAGAGCGGCCAGGGUACUCCAAGCGCAGGCUGGGGGGAGAUCAGCUGGGCGCCGGUCG